RNAcentral lists this unclassified non-coding RNA (1596 nucleotides) under Orussus abietinus. RNAcentral's name for it is "protein couch potato, transcript variant X4". The record is from RNAcentral. Lineage: Eukaryota; Metazoa; Arthropoda; Insecta; Hymenoptera; Orussidae.
UCUACCGGCAACCUGCGCACCAGGUGUGUCGUUCUCGCGGCCCUUAUGUAACCAUUCGUUCCGACUCGUACACCCUCUAUGGUAGACUUAUCGUUUCGGCCGCCGGCAGCCUCGACUUUAGUAAUUCUCCCAUAAGUUCGCGUUAUUCCGUGCACCGCGACCGUUCAAACCGCUGCAUGGGUUCUUUCGUAGACGGAUAAGAGAGGGAGAGAGAUAGAUAUAGAGGGAGACAGAGAGUGCCGUGGGAAGGAAGGGAACCGCCACCGGUAGUCGUAGUUUUAGGAAAAACGGGUGAUGAAGCAGAAGCAAGACCGGUGGACCCGCGAGUGAGAACGAGAGGGAAGUAGCGGCUGUGGGAAAAGGGAUCGACGCUCCUCGCAAGGCAUUAACGGUAGACGCCUAGCAGCGUCGGAGGUAAAAAAGGAGGCACGGAGGGAAGGUAGAAUCGCCGCUUCGCAGUCAGAGAGAGAGAGGGGGAGAGCUUAUUAGUGUGACCCUGCUUGGAGGCGCCUGUCGUCUUCGCCGAUUACAAUCAUAACGCCGCCCGCUCUAAAACGCCCGAGACGGGAAACGGUGGAGUCUUCACCGCCACCCGCUAAGCCCGGACCGUCCACCGAGCUGGCCCACAUCAUGGACGCGCCGCUGUCCCAGAGCAUGGAUUCCGUCAACACGGUCGCCACCGUCGAGGACGAGGUGCGGACCUUGUUUGUCAGCGGUUUGCCGAUGGACACAAAGCCCAGAGAACUUUACCUUCUCUUUAGAGCAUACGAGGGAUACGAGGGCUCCCUCUUAAAGGUCACAAGUAAAAAUGGGAAAACUUCAUCGCCGGUGGGAUUCGUGACUUUCCAUACGAGAGCGGGGGCGGAAGCUGCAAAGCAGGACCUGCAGCAGGGUGUGAGAUUCGAUCCUGAUAUGCCACAAACCAUACGUUUGGAAUUUGCAAAAAGUAACACAAAAGUUAGCAAACCCAAGCCACCAGCCGCUACAGCAGCCACCACGCACCCCGCUCUGAUGCACCCUCUAACUGGACAUCUAGGAACCCCAUUCUUCCACGGAGGUCCUGAAUUAUGGCACCAUCCUCUGACGUACUCGACUGCUGGUGAACUACCGGGCACACUCCAGCAUGCGACUCUGGUUCAUCCCGCCUUGCAUCCUCAGGUCCCCGCACCCAUGUCUCUGCCGCAUCCGACAACGUUAACGUCGAUACACGCAUCGCUGCCGCAUUUUUUACCAUCUCCGGCUUUGGCAUCACCAGUCGGAUCCUCUUCAUCUCAGCCGAGCAUUGCCGUUAGCAAUGCACCCUGCUCCACGCUUUUCGUGGCGAACCUAGGACAAUUUGUAUCCGAACACGAGCUUAAGGAAAUAUUCAGCAGAUACAGUUCGAAUGCCGAGUGCAAGCGCCUGAAGAACUUCGCCUGAAGAACACUCCUCUUCAAGACAACGUUUUUCAUAUCUUACGUCCGAACGAGAGCUACUUUUUCUGUGGAGGUACCUUAGGGAGAGAUCAAAUUUUGGGACUUCAUAUUUCGGAUGUACCUCAAGAGAUUUUAUACAAAAGGGUCAAAGGGAGACGAAAACAGGCAGUCUUAAAAUUAG